RNAcentral lists this ribosomal RNA (1530 nucleotides) under metagenome. RNAcentral's name for it is "bacterial SSU rRNA". It matches the Rfam family "Bacterial small subunit ribosomal RNA". The record is from RNAcentral.
AGAGUUUGAUUCUGGCUCAGAACGAACGCUGGCAGCGUGGAUUAGGCAUGCAAGUCGAACGGGAUCCGGGGCUAUAGCAAUAUAAUCUCGGUGAUAGUGGCGGAAGGGUGAGUAACGCGUGGGUAAGCUACCUCGAAGUUGGGGACAACCAGGUGAAAAUCUGGCUAAUACCGAAUGUGGUCUCUUGGCGCAUGUCAGGAUGACUAAAGGCGGGGAUCCUUUUGGACCUGUCGCUUUGAGAGGCACCCGCGUGCCAUCAGCUUGUUGGUAGGGUAACGGCCUACCAAGGCUUACGGCUAGCCGGCCUGAGAGGGUGACCGGCCACACUGGGACUGAGACACUGCCCAGACUCCUACGGGAGGCUGCAGUCGAGGAUCAUUCGCAAUGCGCGAAAGCGUGACGAUGCGACGCUGCGUGGAGGAUGAAGGCCCUAGGGUUGUAAACUCCUGUCAUGAGGGAAAAGCCGUCCUGCCCAUAACAUGGGCGGGACCCGAUGGUACCUCAAGAGGAAGCCACGGCUAACUCUGUGCCAGCAGCCGCGGUAAUACAGAGGUGGCGAGCGUUAUUCGGAUUUACUGGGCGUAAAGGGUGCGUAGGUGGCUUCGUAUGUCGGACGUGAAAGCCCAUGGCUCAACCGUGGAAUUGCAUUUGAAACUGCGAGACUAGAGUGCAGGAUGGGGGAGCGGAAUUCUUGGUGUAGCGGUGAAAUGCGUUGAUAUCAGGAAGAACACCGGUGGCGAAGGCGGCUCUCUCGAAUGCUACUGACACUGAGGCACGAAAGCUGGGGGAGCAAACAGGAUUAGAUACCCUGGUAGUCCCAGCCGUAAACGGUGCACACUUGGUGUGGGGAGAUUUAACCCUCUCCGUGCCGGAGCUAACGCGUUAAGUGUGCCGCCUGGGGAGUACGGCCGCAAGGCUAAAACUCAAAGAAAUUGACGGGGGCCCGCACAAGCGGAGGAGCAUGUGGCUUAAUUCGAUGCAACGCGAAGAACCUUACCAGGGCUUGGCAUAUACCUGCAAGCCCCCUGAAAGGGGGGGCCGCCUUCGAGGGUGGUAUACAGGUGCUGCAUGGCUGUCGUCAGUUCGUGCCGUGAGGUGUUGGGUUAAGUCCCGUAACGAACGCAACCCUUGUGACUAGUUGCCACCGGCGGUGAUGAGCCGUCGAGCACUCUAGUCAGACUGCCCGUACAAGCGGGAGGAAGGUGGGGAUGACGUCAAGUCAGUAUGGCCCUUACGCCCUGGGCUGCACACGUGCUACAAUGGACGGUACAAUGGGAGGCAAUACCGCAAGGUGGAGCAAAUCCACAAAACCGUCCUCAGUCCGGAUUGAAGUCUGCAACUCGACUUCAUGAAGUUGGAUUCGCUAGUAACGGCGCAUCAGCUACGGCGCCGUGAAUACGUUCCCGGGCCUUGUACACACCGCCCGUCACAUCAUGGAAGCCGUCUGCACCCGAAGUCGCUGUACCAACCCGCAAGGGGGGAAGGUGCCGAAGGUGUGGGUGGUGAUUGGGAUGAAGUCGCAACAAGGUA